GAUGAACGCUGGCGGCGUGCCUAAUACAUGCAAGUCGAGCGAACAGACGAGGAGCUUGCUCCUCUGACGUUAGCGGCGGACGGGUGAGUAACACGUGGAUAACCUACCUAUAAGACUGGGAUAACUUCGGGAAACCGGAGCUAAUACCGGAUAAUAUAUUGAACCGCAUGGUUCAAUAGUGAAAGACGGUUUUGCUGUCACUUAUAGAUGGAUCCGCGCCGCAUUAACUAGUUGGUAAGGUAACGGCUUACCAAGGCAACGAUGCGUAGCCGACCUGAGAGGGUGAUCGGCCACACUGGAACUGAGACACGGUCAAGACUCCUAAGGGAGGCAGCAGUAGGGAAUCUUCCGCAAUGGGCGAAAGCCUGACGGAGCAACGCCGCGUGAGUGAUGAAGGUCUUCGGAUCGUAAAACUCUGUUAUUAGGGAAGAACAAAUGUGUAAGUAACUAUGCACGUCUUGACGGUACCUAAUCAGAAAGCCACGGCUAACUACGUG
RNAcentral lists this ribosomal RNA (497 nucleotides) under uncultured bacterium. RNAcentral's name for it is "partial 16S ribosomal RNA". It matches the Rfam family "Bacterial small subunit ribosomal RNA", at positions 28 to 507 of the family's 1533-position model. The record is from RNAcentral.